GUCAACCAUGUGCAGGCCUAUACAUGGGAGUGAAUCGUGUGGAGGGGAGGAGCCUGCAGGAAGAGAAGACCACGGGGCCUCCCAGAAUGCCGUUGGGCAUCACGUUGUUGAGCUCCGGGCGGCCCAAGCCAGAGCAGCCAGCUGCCUCUGCAUUUCCUCCAGCUGGGUCACGUAUUCGUCACAGCUGCAAGAAACAAAGAUGGAGAACCUUAAAGUCACGCAUGCAGGCCGUGGGCAGUAGCUGCUCUUGAAUAUUUGGACAAAGUCAAAAAAGGCAGAUGAGCUAUGAAGCUAGCGAGCUUGUCUCAGGGAAGAGGAUUUGUCCGCCACCUUCAGCAAACAAAAUAAAAGUCUCACACAGAAGCUUUGCAUCAACCAGAGGUCUAAACAUGUGAUAUCGUCUCAGGGUCAACGACCUGGCCUAAAUAUCGACUCUGAACCCAGAUUACACUGGGAAAUAUAAACACAGAUAAUGUUGAUAGAAGAGGAAGAAUCUUAACACAACACAUCAUUUUGACUAAAACAACUCAUUAAAUGUAAGAAGUUUGGAAUAUAAGAAAAAUAAUAUUUUUAUACAAAAAAAAGGAUCUAACUGACACACUUAAAACAAAUCCCACAUUAAA
This is a long non-coding RNA of Oryzias melastigma (Indian medaka), 623 nucleotides long. RefSeq lists it as uncharacterized. The record is from RefSeq and is a predicted model, not a curated record. The transcript has 5 exons. Lineage: Eukaryota; Metazoa; Chordata; Actinopteri; Beloniformes; Adrianichthyidae.